Molecule: ribosomal RNA, 403 nt
Filed under: uncultured bacterium
Lineage: Bacteria
Description: bacterial SSU rRNA
Rfam family: Bacterial small subunit ribosomal RNA
Source: RNAcentral
UAGGGAAUAUUGCACAAUGGGCGAAAGCCUGAUGCAGCAACGCCGCGUGUGCGAUGAAGGCCUUCGGGUCGUAAAGCACUUUUCUGGGAGAUGAGAAAGGACAGUAUCUCAGGAAUAAGUCUCGGCUAACUACGUGCCAGCAGCCGCGGUAAAACGUAGGAGGCAAGCGUUAUCCGGAUUCACUGGGUGUAAAGCGCGUGCAGGCGGUUCGGUAAGUUGGGCGUGAAAUCUCCUGGCUCAACUAGGAGAGGUCGUUCAAUACUACCGGACUUGAGAGUGGUAGAGGAAGAGGGAAUUCCCGGUGUAGUGGUGAAAUGCGUAGAUAUCGGGAGGAACACCAGUGGCGAAGGCGAUCUUCUGGACCAUUUCUGACGCUCAGACGCGACAGCUAGGGUAGCAAACG